UGGGGAAUAUUGCACAAUGGGCGAAAGCCUGAUGCAGCAACGCCGCGUGAGUGAUGAAGGCCUUCGGGUUGUAAAGCUCUGUCUUUUGGGACGAUAAUGACGGUACCAAAGGAGGAAGCCACGGCUAACUACGUGCCAGCAGCCGCGGUAAUACGUAGGUGGCAAGCGUUGUCCGGAUUUACUGGGCGUAAAGGAUGCGUAGGCGGAUUUUUAAGUGAGAUGUGAAAUACCCGGGCUUAACUUGGGUGCUGCAUUUCAAACUGGGAAUCUAGAGUGCGGGAGAGGAGAAUGGAAUUCCUAGUGUAGCGGUGAAAUGCGUGGAGAUUAGGAAGAACACCAGUGGCGAAGGCGAUUCUCUGGACCGUAACUGACGCUGAGGCAUGAAGGCGUGGGUAGCAAACAGGAUUAGAUACCCUGGUAGUCCACGCCGUAAACGAUGAGUACUAGGUGUAGGAGGUAUCGACCCCUUCUGUGCCGCAGUUAACACAAUCAAGUACUCCGCCUGGGAAGUACGAUCGCAAGAUU
This 525-nucleotide ribosomal RNA is filed under the name uncultured bacterium. RNAcentral describes it as "partial 16S ribosomal RNA". It matches the Rfam family "Bacterial small subunit ribosomal RNA", at positions 355 to 895 of the family's 1533-position model. The record is from RNAcentral.